Triticum aestivum (bread wheat) is the source of this 2472-nucleotide RNA transcript. RefSeq lists it as uncharacterized. The transcript has 8 exons. NCBI's taxonomy places the organism in Eukaryota, Viridiplantae, Streptophyta, Magnoliopsida, Poales, Poaceae. The record is from RefSeq and is a predicted model, not a curated record.
GUUAACCAACGAAGAAAGACCUACGAAGGUUAACCAGCGACGAAAAAACCUAAACCUAUCGCCCGCUCCCUCGCGCCCCUGUUGCUCCCUCCUCGAUCCCGAUCUGGAUCGAGGGGACGAGGAGCUCCUGCCUCCCCGACGGCCGGCCUCCUCCUCGCCCCGCCGCUGCAUCCGCGCCGCCACGGGCUCUGGAGCCAGGGAAGCCAUGGCCUGAGCUCGGCCUCGAGGUCCCCCCGCCGUCUCCUGCAGCUUCUGCCCCGCCGCCUCAACGCCCGAGCUCGCCAUCGCACCAACCUCGGCGCCGCGCCGCCGCCGGCUCUGGUCGCCUCCACCUCCGCUCCAGGCAACCCUCGGUCGCCGGCUCGCUGGAGCACGACGGCAGACGAUGGAUGCCCUGGUUGUGUGCGACGGAUGCAGUUCUUACGCGCAAGCUAGGGUUGGAGCCGCCAGCUCUUCAUCCUGCCCGCCGGCGGCGAGUCUUCCCGUCCCGCACUGCCGCCUCCCCGUUAUCACAGCAUGGUCAAAACAAUGGUGCCUUCACCCUUGCUCGUGCCUCAACCCACAUGGUCAUCUUUGAGACGUGGUAUUCAGUCACAUGACAGAGUUCUCUUUAUCCUUGAGGUCAGAUGCGGCAACUAGCGACAUGUGCUGGAACUUCUGGCAUCGCUGGCGACGGCAUCACCUGCAUCGACCUCUCCCUGGUCGCCUUCGAGAGUGUGUGCGGCCGACCAUCAAGCUUGUUAUGACGCACUUUGAAUUUCCGAGCAAGUCGCAGCCUUUUCAGAUUCAUCAACACAGGUUACAUCAGUAGUCAAUAUGGUUCAGAUGCAUAAUAGUACGUACUUCAUUUCCUUUUUGUUGUGUACGGUGACCUACAACAUGGAUCAUAUAUAUCGGUUAUCUUUCAGGUUCAGUUUGCUGUGGCGAAUUCUUCUUGAAUUUGUUGCAGCAAACUUGUGGUCAUGUAUGGUUUUUAGUUUUGUAAGCAUGCAUAGUUUAGAAGUUAGAAAGCUCGUUCAUGUAUUGUUCUAAACUGAAAGUUUAAGUGGCUUUUCCACCCAUGGUAUUGUGGUGGUCAUAAUAGCACACCUCACAAUUAUUAUGGCCAGAUCUACAAGCACUAAGCGUUGUGUUUUUUAGCCCCCUCUAUUUCUCCUGGGCAUCAAUCUAUGCGCAACAAGCUCUUCAGUGCUUGAUGACAAAUAAAGGUUGGAUGUUAGAUAUUUGCUUGAUUUGAAUGAGCCAUUUUGCUGUCAGCUAAACUGUUAAAAGUCAGAUGUAAGAUUAUGUUUCUUGGCACAUGAGUUAUUUUUCAGUCAACGCGUGGCGAGUCCACUUCGAACUGAUAUAUGCACUUUUUAUUUGAAACUGAACCACCAUGGUUUAAUUUUAUUUUCAUUUGGACAAGUUACCCCAAGUAUCAUCAGUUCAUGAUGACUGGUUUGGUGUGAUGAAUUGAUCCUGGUGCUGAUUUAAGAGUUUUUUAUGACGCUGUCUUGUAAGGGAGUAAGGUAUGGUAUCUAUGUGGUUGUUAUUUUAGCUCUUACAGAUUCCCAUAUAUGACAUGCUAAUUGUUUUUAGCUCUUGAUAUAGUUAAACUUUUUUUUUUUGAAACGGAGGCAAAAGAUUUGCCUCAUCCAUUAAAUGGGAGGAGAAUAGAGUUAAACUUUGGAUGCACCAGUGCCUGAUGCAUAUGUUUGUUUACUUGGUUUGAACUCUGAAUGAUAUGUUGUUAUCCUGAUUGCAUGCCUGAUGAGUUGGUUCUGCUGGUAUUUUGAGGAGGCAAGCUGUGGUUUUACUCCUGGCCCUGAGAAGGGUGAACUAGGCCAUAGCGAGGGCGCCUUCAGGAACAUCGAGUCAGGGUGCCUCACUUUCUAUUUCAGUCUGCGAGGGUGAUACGUAUGAAGGAAAAGAGCCAGAGCGGCGCUUGGAUAAAAGUCAGUGAUGGAAUUUGUUUGGCAUAUGCGGAAAUCUUGGUAAAGAUCUCGACACACCCUGAACAAUGAGCACAUGUUACCAGCCACAUUCCACACAGGAUGUGUUCUUUUCAAAACAAAGAUACCCUGAUACAUGAUUAUUCCUCUUUCAAGUUCUUGAUCCUUGAAGAUACUUGCUAGGUUUUCAACAUCACGAAUUUCAUACUUAUGGAGUGGAGCUACCAAAAUAUCUAUUGAGGUGCUAUCCAAGUGUUGUGAUUAUUUAGCACACACAACUUGCAGGGAGAUAACUCUAUACUAUGAAGACUUUAAAAUACGAGAAAUAUGUCGAAGCACAGAAUAUAUUCCAUAUGCAGUGGACUAACAGAACGACACAACACAUAAAAAGAGGAGUAUAAGUGGAAACCUUUCUUUCUCUUUAAAUUCUUGAGGAUGGUAACAUUAUGAUGAAGGUGGAACCAUAUAGAGAUGUGUAUUUUUAAUUGAGAUAUUUUCAGGAGUACCUUUGCAAAGCUGAUAUAUCUUUCUUUUACAA